GUGCCCACUUUGGGAGCACACAUACUAAAAGUAGAAUCAUAUAGAGAGUAGCAUGGCCUUUGUGUAAGGAUGAUAUGCAAAUUUAUGAAGCGUUACAUAGUUGU
Small nuclear RNA from Gracilinanus agilis (Agile Gracile Mouse Opossum), 104 nucleotides. The record is from RefSeq and is a predicted model, not a curated record. Lineage: Eukaryota; Metazoa; Chordata; Mammalia; Didelphimorphia; Didelphidae.